Molecule: long non-coding RNA, 942 nt
Organism: Spodoptera frugiperda (fall armyworm)
Lineage: Eukaryota; Metazoa; Arthropoda; Insecta; Lepidoptera; Noctuidae
Exons: 2
Source: RefSeq, a predicted model, not a curated record
UGUUAUUUGUAUUUCCUGUCUAAUUUAGAGUUAAGAUUUAUUAGUGAUUUAAGUGUAUUUGUAUAAACCUAUCAAAUUUUGAACCAUUGUUAAUUGUUGAACUAGAGUGUACUUGAUAAUAAAUAUACUUAUUGUUAGUUUGUUAGUUUUAGCUAUAAUAUUGUUUUAAGUGAUUGUUAAAUCAAUACCCCGCUUUGUUUUGUUAAAGUGUUUCUUUUAAAAAGGGGGGGAGUAGUGUAGCGGCAUAGCGUAUAAGUACCUACUUAAGGCGUGUCAAGUUGCAACGUAAACAAAGUUACAGUUUAUAUUUCGGAUGUAAUAAAUUAUAGGUAUUGUUCAUUCAUUUCAUUGUUCAUUAUGUGAACACGCGCACUGUGUAUCCGUCUUAGUAAGGAACAAUAUACUUUCAGUCGUCAUCGGUCUUUCAUUUGGUCUACACCUCAGAUCACACACUACCACCCUCUAAACAAAAAUAUAUUUUGUUGCUUAGUUCCUUCUGUAAAAUAGAUGAAACAUUCACUGUUGCAAUAUUUCUAAAAAUAAAAGUAAUUCUUAGUACAAUACACUUUUAAUAUUAAAACAAUAAUAAGUAUAACAGAAACACGACCUUAAUCACUAUUAUCGCCCUCUACUUCAAAAUCGAGAGGGCCGGUAAAGCCAUCAAUAUCGUCUUCUAUUGUUUCACCUUUCAGGGUUUUGUAGAAAGUCUUUGCGUCGUGUGGUAUGAGGUGCAGAAUACUCCUUAUAUCUGUAAGCUUAGCGUAUAGCGGCAUAGCGUAUAAGUACUACUUAAGGCGUGUCAAGUUGCAACGUAAACAAAGUUACAGUUUAUAUUUCGGAUGUAAUAAAUUAUAGGUAUUGUUUAUUCAUUUCAUUGUUCAUUAUGUGAACACGCGCACUGUGUAUCCGUCUUAUUAAGGAACAAUAUACUUUCAGUCGUCA